GUGUGGCUCAGUGGUAAAGCACCUGCCUAGCAAGCACAAGGGUCCUGAGUUCAAAUCUCAGUAC
Molecule: transfer RNA, 64 nt
Filed under: Dipodomys ordii (Ord's kangaroo rat)
Lineage: Eukaryota; Metazoa; Chordata; Mammalia; Rodentia; Heteromyidae
Rfam family: tRNA
About the family: Transfer RNA (tRNA) molecules are approximately 80 nucleotides in length. Their secondary structure includes four short double-helical elements and three loops (D, anti-codon, and T loops).
Source: Rfam by way of RNAcentral